GACGAACGCUGGCGGCGUGCUUAACACAUGCAAGUCGAACGGAAAGGCCCUGCUUUUGUGGGGUUCUCGAGUGGCGAACGGGUGUGUAACACGUGAGUAACCUGCCCUUGACUUUGGGAUAACUUCAGGAAACUGUGGCUAAUACCGGAUAGGAGCUCCUGCUGCAUGGUGUGGGUUGGAAAGUUUCGGCGGUUGGGGAUGGACUCGCGGCUUAUCAGCUUGUUGGUGGGGUAGUGGCUUACCAAGGCUUCGACGGGUAGCCGGCCUGAGAGGGUGACCGGCCACAUGGGGACUACGAUACGGCCCAGACUCCUACGGGAGGCAGCGGGCGGGAAUAUUGCACAAUGGGCGGACGUCUGAUGCAGAAACGCCGCGUGCGGGAUGACGGCCUUCGGGGUGUAAACCGCUGUCGCCUGUGACGAAGCGUGAGUGACGGUAAUGGGUAAAGAAGCACCGGCUAACUACGUG
This 468-nucleotide ribosomal RNA is filed under the name uncultured bacterium. RNAcentral's name for it is "partial 16S ribosomal RNA". It matches the Rfam family "Bacterial small subunit ribosomal RNA", at positions 28 to 507 of the family's 1533-position model. The record is from RNAcentral.